AUGCCUAUGGGUUUAUCGGAAGCUCCCGGUACUUUCAUGCGUCUUAUGCAUUUCGCGCUUCGUCCUUACAUUGGACUGUUUGUUAUGGUCUACUUUGACGACAUUCUUGUUUUUAGCAAAUCCGUCAAAGAUCAUGUAAAUCAUGUUAGGGUCGUUUUGCAAACUCUUCGAAAGGAACGUCUUUAUGCCAACAUGAAAAAAUGCACUUUCGGAGUUGACAAGCUUGUUUUCAUGGGUUUUGUUGUUUCCUCAAAGGGUGUCCAUGUUGAUGAGUCUAAAAUUGAAGCAAUUAAAACUUGGCCACAACCCACAAAUUUGCAACAAGUGCGUAGUUUUCUUGGCCUUGCGGGUUUCUAUCAUCGCUUUGUGAAAGAUUUUAACACUAUUGCCGCACUGUUGCAUGCCUUGAGUAAGAAAAAUUCACCCUUUGUUUGGGGACCUUUGCAAUCUACCGCAUUUGAUGAGCUCAAAUCCUUGCUUACUCAUGCUCUGAUUCUUGCUUUGCCUAACUUUGACAAAACUUUUGAGGUUCAUUGUGAUGCUAGUGGUAAUGGAAUUGGUGGAGUUUUGAUGCAAGAAAAGCGAGCCAUUGCAUAUUUUAGUGAAAAACUUUCCGGUGCUCAACUUAAUUAUCCCAUAUAUGACAAAGAAUUGUAUGCUUUAGUGCGUGUGUUGCAUGUUUGGGAGUAUUAUCUUAGACCACAUGAGUUUGUCAUACAUACCGAUCAUGAGACACUUAAGUACCUUAAAGGUCAAACCAAGUUGAAUACACGGCAUGCUAAAUGGAGUGAAUUUAUUGAAUCUUUCCCCUAUGUGAUCAAGUACAUUAAGGGCAAAGAGAAUGUCGUGGUGGAUGCUCUUUCCCGCAAAUGCAUGUUAAUUACUCAACUUGAAUUGAAUGUUGUUGGAUUUGAUCAUAUCAAAGAUUUGUAUGAGCACGAUGUGACUUUUGCUACUCCUUUUGCUAAGUGUGUGACGCAUACAUCUUGGGAACGAUAUUAUCAAAGAUGGUUAUCUAAUGAGAGCUAA
RNAcentral lists this ribosomal RNA (1029 nucleotides) under Triticum aestivum (bread wheat). RNAcentral describes it as "partial small subunit ribosomal RNA". The record is from RNAcentral. Lineage: Eukaryota; Viridiplantae; Streptophyta; Magnoliopsida; Poales; Poaceae.